Molecule: microRNA precursor, 91 nt
Filed under: Chlorocebus sabaeus (green monkey)
Lineage: Eukaryota; Metazoa; Chordata; Mammalia; Primates; Cercopithecidae
Description: miRNA (ENSCSAG00000025239.1)
Source: RNAcentral
UGUCUCUCUAAAAUAAUAUUGGAUUGGUGCAAAAGUAAUUGCCAUUUUUGCCCUUGGAAGUAACGGCAAUUACUUUUGCACCAACCUAAUA